GAGAGGAGGGCCCGGAGAUGGUACUGAGACACGGACCCAGGCCCUAUGGGGCGCAGCAGGCGAGAAACCUUUGCAAUGUGCGAAAGCACGACAAGGUUAAUCCGAGUGUCUCCUGCUAAAGGAGUCUUUUGUCAGUUGUAGAAUCACUGGUGAAUAAGGGGUGGGCAAGUUCUGGUGUCAGCCACCGCGGUAAAACCAGCACCUCGAGUGGUCAGGAGGUUUAUUGGGCCUAAAGCAUCCGUAGCCGGUUGCAUAAGUUUUCGGUUAAAUCUAUGCGCUUAACGUAUAGGCCGCCGAAAAUACUGUGCAGCUAGGGAGUGGGAGAGGUACACGGUACUCGAUAGGAAGGGGUAAAAUCCUUUGAUCUAUUGAAGACCACCUGUGGCGAAGGCGGUGUACCAGAACACGUUCGACGGUGAGGGAUGAAAGCUGGGGGAGCAAACCGGAUUAGAUACCCGGGUAGUCCCAGCUGUAAACGAUGCAGACUCGGUGAUGCAUUGGCUUGUGGCCAAUGCAGUGCCGCAGGGAAGCCGUUAAGUCUGCCGCCUGGGAAGUACGUACGCAAGUAUGAACUUAAAGGAAUUGGCGGGGGAGCACCACAAGGGGUGAAGCUGCGGUUCAAUUGGAGUCACGCC
Molecule: ribosomal RNA, 635 nt
Filed under: uncultured archaeon
Lineage: Archaea
Description: bacterial SSU rRNA
Rfam family: Archaeal small subunit ribosomal RNA
Source: RNAcentral